Molecule: small nucleolar RNA, 100 nt
Organism: Prosopis cineraria
Lineage: Eukaryota; Viridiplantae; Streptophyta; Magnoliopsida; Fabales; Fabaceae
Product: small nucleolar RNA snoR113
Exons: 1
Source: RefSeq, a predicted model, not a curated record
UGGUGAAUGAUGAAUCAAAGGCCGGACUUACAGCUGCCAUUUAGUUCGCUGGGUAGUAGAUUGACGAUUUUUUUUCUUUAAGGUGCAUGUUCUGAGCCAG